Molecule: microRNA precursor, 95 nt
Organism: Cricetulus griseus (Chinese hamster)
Lineage: Eukaryota; Metazoa; Chordata; Mammalia; Rodentia; Cricetidae
Gene: Mir30b
Product: microRNA 30b
Source: Ensembl
CUAAGCCAAGUUCAGUUCAUGUAAACAUCCUACACUCAGCUGUCAUACAUGAGUUGGCUGGGAUGUGGAUGUUUACGUCAGCUGUCUUGGAGUAU